ACCCCGCACAAGCGGUGGAUCAUGUUGUUUAAUUCGAUGAUACGCGAAGAACCUUACCAGGUCUUGACAUCCCCCGCGAUGCUUUAGAGAUAAAGCGGAGGUAUUCGGGGAGACAGGUGGUGCAUGGUUGUCGUCAGCUCGUGUCGUGAGAUGUUGGGUUAAGUCCCGCAACGAGCGCAACCCCUAUUGCUAGUUACCAUCAUUAAGUUGGGGACUCUAGCGAGACUGCCAGUGAUAAACUGGAGGAAGGUGGGGAUGACGUCAAAUCAUCAUGCCCCUUAUGACCUGGGCUACAAACGUGAUACGAUGGCUGGAACAAAGGGAUGCGAAGCAGUGAUGUGGAGCGAAACCCAUAAAAACAGUCUCAGUUCGGAUUGAAGUCUGCAACUCGACUUCAUGAAGUCGGAAUCGCUAGUAAUCGCGGAUCAGAACGCCGCGGUGAAUACGUUCUCGGGGUUU
This 459-nucleotide ribosomal RNA is filed under the name uncultured Acholeplasma sp. RNAcentral's name for it is "bacterial SSU rRNA". It matches the Rfam family "Bacterial small subunit ribosomal RNA", at positions 918 to 1382 of the family's 1533-position model. The record is from RNAcentral. Lineage: Bacteria; Bacillati; Mycoplasmatota; Mollicutes; Acholeplasmatales; Acholeplasmataceae.